UACGAAGGGGUGCAAGCGUUAAUCGGAAUUACUGGGCGUAAAGCGUGCGUAGGCGGUUUGUAAGUCUGUUGUGAAAUCCCCGGGCUCAACCUGGGAAUGGCAAUGGAUACUGGCAAGCUAGAGUGUGUCAGAGGAUGGUGGAAUUCCGGUGUAGCGGUGAAAUGCGUAGAGAUCGGGAGGAACAUCAGUGGCGAAGGCGGCCAUCUGGGACAACACUGACGCUGAGGCACGAAAGCGUGGGGAGCAAACAGG
RNAcentral lists this ribosomal RNA (252 nucleotides) under uncultured bacterium. Its description in RNAcentral is "partial 16S ribosomal RNA". It matches the Rfam family "Bacterial small subunit ribosomal RNA", at positions 524 to 776 of the family's 1533-position model. The record is from RNAcentral.